Molecule: ribosomal RNA, 253 nt
Filed under: uncultured bacterium
Lineage: Bacteria
Description: partial 16S ribosomal RNA
Rfam family: Bacterial small subunit ribosomal RNA
Source: RNAcentral
UACGGGGGGGGCAAGCGUUGUUCGGAAUUACUGGGCGUGAAGGGCUCGUAGGCGGCCAACUAAGUCAAACGUGAAAUCCCUCGGCUUAACCGGGGAACUGCGUCUGAUACUGGAUGGCUUGAGUUUGGGAGAGGGAUGCGGAAUUCCAGGUGUAGCGGUGAAAUGCGUAGAUAUCUGGAGGAACACCGGUGGCGAAGGCGGCAUCCUGGACCAACACUGACGCUGAGGAGCGAAAGCCAGGGGAGCAAACGGG